GCGAAAGUAGCUCAAUUAGGUAGAGUAUAAUCUUGCCAAGAUUAUGGUUGCGAGUUCAAAUCUCGUCUUUCGCU
This 74-nucleotide transfer RNA is filed under the name Candidatus Nardonella dryophthoridicola. RNAcentral's name for it is "tRNA-Gly". It matches the Rfam family "tRNA". Rfam says of the family: Transfer RNA (tRNA) molecules are approximately 80 nucleotides in length. Their secondary structure includes four short double-helical elements and three loops (D, anti-codon, and T loops). Further hydrogen bonds mediate the characteristic L-shaped molecular structure. tRNAs have two regions of fundamental functional importance: the anti-codon, which is responsible for specific mRNA codon recognition, and the 3' end, to which the tRNAs corresponding amino acid is attached (by aminoacyl-tRNA synthetases). tRNAs cope with the degeneracy of the genetic code in two manners: having more than one tRNA (with a specific anti-codon) for a particular amino acid; and 'wobble' base-pairing, i.e. permitting non-standard base-pairing at the 3rd anti-codon position. Lineage: Bacteria; Pseudomonadati; Pseudomonadota; Gammaproteobacteria. The record is from RNAcentral. RNAcentral also lists the same sequence under 1 other name.